UUAAUCAUGUACAGGGAAACCAUUCAGGAAAAAAAUCUUGGCUUACACUUUUAUGAUUGCAUAGUGGAAUGGAAUCUUGACAGGAAAUUGCUUUCACUCAGUUUGGACAAUGCUUCAGCCAAUGAUAAGUGUGUUGAGGGGCUACUAACCAAAUUCAGUAAGAAUAGUCUAAUCUGUGAUGGCAUAUUUUUUCAUGUAAGAUGUUUCAAUCACAUCCUAAACCUGGUCGCUCAAGAUGGUUUGAAGACAAUUGCAGCAUCUAAUGCAAAUAUUAGAAAUACCAUAUCAAUUGUGAGGAAUUCUCCACAGCAGAAGGAAGAGUUUGAGAAGUGUGCUUCAGAAUGU
RNAcentral lists this ribosomal RNA (345 nucleotides) under Triticum aestivum (bread wheat). RNAcentral describes it as "partial small subunit ribosomal RNA". The record is from RNAcentral. Lineage: Eukaryota; Viridiplantae; Streptophyta; Magnoliopsida; Poales; Poaceae.